CUACUAUCUGGCGCCGGGUUCAAGGUGAUCAGGAAUGCUCUGACUCCGAGUGGAGGCUCACCAUUGCACCUAGGUGGGUUGAAACUCGUGACGAACCGUAAUCGGGUGCGCUCGGGCGUGUAGUUUUUGUCAGUGGGGAGAUCUCACAGUCCUCCCUU
Molecule: non-coding RNA, 158 nt
Organism: Schistosoma margrebowiei
Lineage: Eukaryota; Metazoa; Platyhelminthes; Trematoda; Strigeidida; Schistosomatidae
Source: Rfam